GGUCCGGUAGUUCAGUUGGUUAGAAUGCCGCACUGUCACUGCGGAGGUCGCGAGUUCGAGUCUCGUCCGGACCGCCA
RNAcentral lists this transfer RNA (77 nucleotides) under Anaeroplasma bactoclasticum. RNAcentral describes it as "tRNA-Asp". It matches the Rfam family "tRNA". From Rfam's summary of the family: Transfer RNA (tRNA) molecules are approximately 80 nucleotides in length. RNAcentral also lists the same sequence under 3 other names. The record is from RNAcentral. Lineage: Bacteria; Bacillati; Mycoplasmatota; Mollicutes; Anaeroplasmatales; Anaeroplasmataceae.